GCCGCGUUAGCACAGUAGGCAGCGCGUAAGUCUCAUAAUCGGAUUAAAGAAAUCUGAAGGGCGUGAGUUCGAUCCUCACACGGGGCA
Molecule: non-coding RNA, 87 nt
Organism: Nematostella vectensis (starlet sea anemone)
Lineage: Eukaryota; Metazoa; Cnidaria; Anthozoa; Actiniaria; Edwardsiidae
Source: Rfam